RNAcentral lists this ribosomal RNA (247 nucleotides) under Skeletonema marinoi. RNAcentral describes it as "partial Bacterial small subunit ribosomal RNA". It matches the Rfam family "Bacterial small subunit ribosomal RNA", at positions 548 to 794 of the family's 1533-position model. The record is from RNAcentral. Lineage: Eukaryota; Bacillariophyta; Thalassiosirophyceae; Thalassiosirales; Thalassiosiraceae.
GAAUUACUGGGCGUAAAGCGCACGCAGGCGGUUUGUUAAGCUAGAUGUGAAAGCCCCGCGCUCAACGUGGGAGGGUCAUUUAGAACUGGCAGACUAGAGUCUUGGAGAGGGGAGUGGAAUUCCAGGUGUAGCGGUGAAAUGCGUAGAGAUCUGGAGGAACAUCAGUGGCGAAGGCGACUCCCUGGCCAAAGACUGACGCUCAUGUGCGAAAGUGUGGGUAGCGAACAGGAUUAGAUACCCUGGUAGU